RNAcentral lists this ribosomal RNA (355 nucleotides) under uncultured bacterium. RNAcentral's name for it is "bacterial SSU rRNA". It matches the Rfam family "Bacterial small subunit ribosomal RNA", at positions 28 to 380 of the family's 1533-position model. The record is from RNAcentral.
GAUGAACGCUAGCGGCAGGCCUAAUACAUGCAAGACGAACGGUAAGUUGAGUAGCAAUACUUAGCCAAGAGUGUCGUACGGGUGCGUAACACGUAUGCAACCUACCCUAUACAGGAGGAUAGCCUAGGGAAACCUGGAUUAACCCUUCAUAGUAUUAUUGGAUGGCAUCAUUUGAUAAUUAAAACUGAGGUGGUAUAGGAUGGGCAUGCGUCUGAUUAGUUAGUUGGCGGGGUAAUGGCCCACCAAGACGAUGAUCAGUAGGGGUUCUGAGAGGAAGAUCCCCCACACUGGCACUGAGAUACGGGCCAGACUCCUACGGGAGGCAGCAGUAGGGAAUAUUGGUCAAUGGGAUGAC